GAACUUAAGCAUAUCAAUAAGCGGAGGAAAAGAAACCAACAGGGAUUGCCUUAGUAACUGCGAGUGAAGCGGCAAAAGCUCAAAUUUGAAAUCUGGCGUCCUCGGCGUCCGAAUUGUAAUUUGGAGAGGCAACUUCGGUGAUGGUGCCGUCCUAAGUUCCUUGGAACAGGAUGACAUAGAGGGUGAGAUCCCCGUGCCUGGAUGGCUGACUAUCUCCAUGUGAAUUGCCUUCGAAGAGUCGAGUUGUUUGGGAAUGCAGCUCAAAAUGGGUGGUAAAUUUCAUCUAAAGCUAAAUAUUGGCGAGAGACCGAUAGCGCACAAGUAGAGUGAUCGAAAGAUGAAAGGCACUUUGAAAAGAGAGUUAAAAAGUACGUGAAAUUGUUGAAAGGGAAGCGCUUGAGACCAGACUCGAUUUGUGGUGAUCAGCUGUGCUUAUGUACGGUGCACUCGCCAUGGAUCGGGCCAGCAUCGGUUCUGACGGUGGGAUAAAAGGUUGAGGAAUGUGACUUCCUUCGGGGAGUGUUAUAGCCUCGCUCACAAUGCCACCAGCUGGGACCGAGGACCGCGCUUCGGCUAGGAUGCUGGCGUAAUGGUCUUAAGCGACCCGUCUUGAAACACGGACCAAGGAGUCUAACAUCUAUGCGAGUGUUCGGGUGGAAAACCCUUGCGCGUAAUGAAAGUGAACGGAGGUGGGAACCCGCAAGGGUGCACCAUCGACCGAUCCUGAUGUCUUCGGAAGGAUUUGAGUAAGAGCAUAGCUGUUGGGACCCGAAA
Molecule: ribosomal RNA, 774 nt
Filed under: uncultured fungus
Lineage: Eukaryota; Fungi
Description: eukaryotic LSU rRNA
Rfam family: Eukaryotic large subunit ribosomal RNA
Source: RNAcentral